Clupea harengus (Atlantic herring) is the source of this 430-nucleotide long non-coding RNA. NCBI's taxonomy places the organism in Eukaryota, Metazoa, Chordata, Actinopteri, Clupeiformes, Clupeidae. The record is from Ensembl.
GACCCCUCUGUGAGCCUGCAUGUGUGCCUGUUUGUUGAGUGUGUGAAUGUGUUGGUGUGGGUGCAUAUGUGCCUGUGCCUGUGUAUGUGUGUGUGUGUGUGCAUGACAGUGAGUGUGUCUAAGUAAGUGUGUGUGUGUGUGUGUAUGCUGGAGUACCCUGCCUCGGCCUCGGACCUGAGGUCAUCUCUGAGGGCGCUUCACCAGGACAUGGAACAGCUGAGGAGUGCAAACGCCACACUGAGGAAAGACAACAGCUCACUGAGAGAACAGCUCAACAGAGGGACGGAGGGUAACCGUGGGAGAGCGGAGGGGCGUGGCGGCCUGCGGCCCAGCUGUGAUGCGGAUCUGGCCCGAGCCCUGAAGGUGUUCUACCACAGCAUGACCUCAGUCAGGGCCCAGCUCCAGAGACUACGCCGACACAGACCCAGCG